Molecule: ribosomal RNA, 429 nt
Filed under: Chloroflexota bacterium
Lineage: Bacteria; Bacillati; Chloroflexota
Description: Chloroflexi bacterium partial 16S ribosomal RNA
Rfam family: Bacterial small subunit ribosomal RNA
Source: RNAcentral
UGGGGAAUAUUGCACAAUGGGCGCAAGCCUGAUGCAGCCAUGCCGCGUGUAUGAAGAAGGCCUUCGGGUUGUAAAGUACUUUCAGCGGGGAGGAAGGGAGUAAAGUUAAUACCUUUGCUCAUUGACGUUACCCGCAGAAGAAGCACCGGCUAACUCCGUGCCAGCAGCCGCGGUAAUACGGAGGGUGCAAGCGUUAAUCGGAAUUACUGGGCGUAAAGCGCACGCAGGCGGUUUGUUAAGUCAGAUGUGAAAUCCCCGGGCUCAACCUGGGAAAUGCAUCUGAUACUGGCAAGCUUGAGUCUCGUAGAGGGGGGUAGAAUUCCAGGUGUAGCGGUGAAAUGCGUAGAGAUCUGGGGGAAUACCGGUGGCGAAGGCGGCCCCCUGGACGAAGACUGACGCUCAGGUGCGAAAGCGUGGGGAGCAAACAGG